RNAcentral lists this ribosomal RNA (253 nucleotides) under uncultured bacterium. Its description in RNAcentral is "partial 16S ribosomal RNA". It matches the Rfam family "Bacterial small subunit ribosomal RNA", at positions 524 to 776 of the family's 1533-position model. The record is from RNAcentral.
UACAGAGGUCCCAAGCGUUAUCCGGAUUCACUGGGUUUAAAGGGUGCGUAGGUGGGCAAGUAAGUCAGUGGUGAAAUCUCCGGGCUUAACCCGGAAACUGCCAUUGAUACUAUUUGUCUUGAAUACUGUGGAGGUCAGCGGAAUAUGUCAUGUAGCGGUGAAAUGCUUAGAUAUGACAUAGAACACCAAUUGCGAAGGCAGCUGGCUACACAAAUAUUGACACUGAGGCACGAAAGCGUGGGGAUCAAACAGG